RNAcentral lists this ribosomal RNA (504 nucleotides) under uncultured bacterium. Its description in RNAcentral is "partial 16S ribosomal RNA". It matches the Rfam family "Bacterial small subunit ribosomal RNA", at positions 29 to 507 of the family's 1533-position model. The record is from RNAcentral.
ACGAACGCUGGCGGCGUGCCUAAUACAUGCAAGUAGAACGCACAGUUUAUACCGUAGCUUGCUACACCAUAGACUGUGAGUUGCGAACGGGUGAGUAAUGCGUAGGUAACCUGCCUGGUAGCGGGGGAUAACUAUUGGAAACGAUAGCUAAUACCGCAUAAUAUUAAUUAUUGCAUGAUAAUUAAUUGAAAGGUGCAAUUGCACCACUACCAGAUGGACCUGCGUUGUAUUAGCUAGUAGGUGAGGUAACGGCUCACCUAGGCGACGAUACAUAGCCGACCUGAGAGGGUGAUCGGCCACACUGGGACUGAGACACGGCCCAGACUCCUACGGGAGGCAGCAGUAGGGAAUCUUCGGCAAUGGACGAAAGUCUGACCGAGCAACGCCGCGUGAGUGAAGAAGGUUUUCGGAUCGUAAAGCUCUGUUGUAAGAGAAGAACGGGUGUGAGAGUGGAAAGUUCACACUGUGACGGUAUCUUACCAGAAAGGGACGGCUAACUACGUG